Molecule: ribosomal RNA, 323 nt
Filed under: uncultured eukaryote
Lineage: Eukaryota
Description: partial 18S ribosomal RNA
Rfam family: Eukaryotic small subunit ribosomal RNA
Source: RNAcentral
CCCUUAGAUGUUCUGGGCCGCACGCGCGCUACACUGAUGCAUGCAACGAGUUCUAUCCUUGGCCGGAAGGCCUGGGUAAUCUGUGAACGUGCAUCGUGAUAGGGAUAGAUUAUUGCAAUUAUUAAUCUUGAACGAGGAAUUCCUAGUAAACGCAAGUCAUCAGCUUGCAUUGAUUACGUCCCUGCCCUUUGUACACACCGCCCGUCGCACCUACCGAUCGAAGGUAAUGAUGAGCCCUCAGGAUUGUGGCCUCGUCGCGUCAGCGUCUUGGCUGCGAGAAUCUGUGCAAAUCCCNANCUUUAUNGGAAGGUGAANUCGUANCA